RNAcentral lists this long non-coding RNA (299 nucleotides) under Setaria viridis. Its description in RNAcentral is "long non-coding RNA (SVIR_LNC009890)". The record is from RNAcentral. Lineage: Eukaryota; Viridiplantae; Streptophyta; Magnoliopsida; Poales; Poaceae.
UUUUAAAUAUUAUUUAUAAUGGUAUAAGUGGGUAAUUUGGAUGAAGAUUAGGGGGUUACUUUAGUUUAUUUUAUAUAAUGGCAGAGGUGGGUAAUUUAUAUGUAGAUUUAGGGGGUUACUUUAGGCUAUUUACAUAAUGGCAUAGGUGGGUAAUUUAUAUGUAGAUUUAGAGGGUUACUUUAGGCUAUUUACAUAAUGGCAUAGGUGGGUAAUUGUUUAGAAAACAUAGUAGAUCCAAAGGCUAUGAUGAUUUCAAUCUAUCGAUUGAUGGUCGGAUGUUUUGCUUUUUUGUGAGAAUU